CCUGGCUCAGGACGAACGCUGGCGGCGCGCCUAACACAUGCAAGUCGAACGAGCGAGAGAGAGCUUGCUUUCUCAAGCGAGUGGCGAACGGGUGAGUAACGCGUGAGGAACCUGCCUCAAAGAGGGGGACAACAGUUGGAAACGACUGCUAAUACCGCAUAAGCCCACGGCUCGGCAUCGAGCAGAGGGAAAAGGAGCAAUCCGCUUUGAGAUGGCCUCGCGUCCGAUUAGCUAGUUGGUGAGGUAAUGGCCCACCAAGGCGACGAUCGGUAGCCGGACUGAGAGGUUGAACGGCCACAUUGGGACUGAGACACGGCCCAGACUCCUACGGGAGGCAGCAGUGGGGAAUAUUGCACAAUGGGGGAAACCCUGAUGCAGCGACGCCGCGUGGAGGAAGAAGGUCUUCGGAUUGUAAACUCCUGUUGUUGAGGAAGAUAAUGACGGUACUCAACAAGGAAGUGACGGCUAACUACGUGCCAGCAGCCGCGGUAAAACGUAGGUCACAAGCGUUGUCCGGAAUUACUGGGUGUAAAGGGAGCGCAGGCGGGAAGGCAAGUUGGAAGUGAAAUCCAUGGGCUCAACCCAUGAACUGCUUUCAAAACUGUUUUUCUUGAGUAGUGCAGAGGUAGGCGGAAUUCCCGGUGUAGCGGUGGAAUGCGUAGAUAUCGGGAGGAACACCAGUGGCGAAGGCGGCCUACUGGGCACCAACUGACGCUGAGGCUCGAAAGUGUGGGUAGCAAACAGGAUUAGAUACCCUGGUAGUCCACACUGUAAACGAUGAUUACUAGGUGUUGGAGGAUUGACCCCUUCAGUGCCGCAGUUAACACAAUAAGUAAUCCACCUGGGGAGUACGACCGCAAGGUUGAAACUCAAAGGAAUUGACGGGGGCCCGCACAAGCAGUGGAGUAUGUGGUUUAAUUCGACGCAACGCGAAGAACCUUACCAAGUCUUGACAUCCUGCGACGGUUCUGGAAACAGAACUUUCCUUCGGGACGCAGAGACAGGUGGUGCAUGGUUGUCGUCAGCUCGUGUCGUGAGAUGUUGGGUUAAGUCCCGCAACGAGCGCAACCCUUAUGGUCAGUUACUACGCAAGAGGACUCUGGCCAGACUGCCGUUGACAAAACGGAGGAAGGUGGGGAUGACGUCAAAUCAUCAUGCCCUUUAUGACUUGGGCUACACACGUACUACAAUGGCGUUAAACAAAGAGAAGCAAGACCGCGAGGUGGAGCAAAACUCAGAAACAACGUCCCAGUUCGGACUGCAGGCUGCAACUCGCCUGCACGAAGUCGGAAUUGCUAGUAAUCGCAGAUCAGCAUGCUGCGGUGAAUACGUUCCCGGGCCUUGUACACACCGCCC
This 1356-nucleotide ribosomal RNA is filed under the name uncultured bacterium. Its description in RNAcentral is "bacterial SSU rRNA". It matches the Rfam family "Bacterial small subunit ribosomal RNA", at positions 18 to 1395 of the family's 1533-position model. The record is from RNAcentral.